Molecule: ribosomal RNA, 253 nt
Filed under: uncultured bacterium
Lineage: Bacteria
Description: partial 16S ribosomal RNA
Rfam family: Bacterial small subunit ribosomal RNA
Source: RNAcentral
UACGUAGGAUGCAAGCGUUGUCCGGAUUUAUUGGGUUUAAAGGGUGCGUAGGUGGCUAGAUAAGUCGUGGGUGAAAGUUGGCAGCUUAACUGUCAGAUUGCCUGCGAUACUGUUUAGCUUGAAUGCGAUUGAGGUAGCUGGAAUGGGUGGUGUAGCGGUGAAAUGCAUAGAUACCAUCCGGAACGCCAAUUGCGUAGGCAAGCUACUAAGUCGUGAUUGACACUGAGGCACGAAAGCGUGGGGAUCAAACAGG